GACAGAGGAUGCAAGCGUUAUCCGGAAUGCUUGGGCGUAAAGCGUCUGUAGGUGGCUUUUCAAGUCCGCCGUCAAAUCCCAGGGCUCAACCCUGGACAGGCGGUGGAAACUACCAAGCUGGAGUACGGUAGGGGCAGAGGGAAUUUCCGGUGGAGCGGUGAAAUGCAUUGAGAUCGGAAAGAAUACCAACGGCGAAAGCACUCUGCUAGGCCGACACUGACACUGAGAGACGAAAGCUAGGGGAUCAAAU
RNAcentral lists this ribosomal RNA (250 nucleotides) under uncultured bacterium. RNAcentral describes it as "partial 16S ribosomal RNA". It matches the Rfam family "Bacterial small subunit ribosomal RNA", at positions 524 to 773 of the family's 1533-position model. The record is from RNAcentral.